CAGUCGCACGAGAGUGGAGCAAUCCAUGAAAGUGGCGCACGGGUGCGUAACACGUAGAUAAUCUGCCCUUAGGAGGGGGAUAACGUUCCGAAAGGAGCGCUAAUACCGCAUACAGCAGUUUCCGGUUCGCCGGAGAUUGGCAAAGGCUGGGCUCAGCAAUGACCAGCCGCCUGAGGAGGAGUCUGCGGCCCAUCAGCUAGUUGGUAAGGUAACGGCUUACCAAGGCAAAGACGGGUAGCUGGUCUGAGAGGAUGAUCAGCCACACUGGUACUGGAACACGGACCAGACUCCUACGGGAGGCAGCAGUGGGGAAUCUUGGUCAAUGGGCGCAAGCCUGAACCAGCGAUGCCGCGUGAGUGAUGAAGGCCUUCGGGUUGUAAAGCUCUGUGGGGAGGGACGAAAUCAUCGGUUCUAACAGGACCGAAUUUGACGGUACCUCCUUAGCAAGCACCGGCUAACUCUGUGCCAGCAGCCGCG
This 477-nucleotide ribosomal RNA is filed under the name uncultured soil bacterium. Its description in RNAcentral is "bacterial SSU rRNA". It matches the Rfam family "Bacterial small subunit ribosomal RNA", at positions 59 to 519 of the family's 1533-position model. The record is from RNAcentral.